RNAcentral lists this long non-coding RNA (370 nucleotides) under Mytilus galloprovincialis (Mediterranean mussel). Lineage: Eukaryota; Metazoa; Mollusca; Bivalvia; Mytilida; Mytilidae. The record is from RNAcentral.
UGAGAUUUUGAUGGUAAGGAUAGGUUCGGACAAGGCUCUAAUUCACUGAAUAUCCUUUCUCUCUUGAAUUUUGGCUAAAAUUCUUGUCGGCUUUUAGCAGGAUUUUGCAGGUGAGGAUUAGAUUGGUAUCAGAGCAUCACAUUUUUUGCCUUAUUUGCAAUGCAUUUAUAAAUUUUUAAAUCUCCAUGCUGGACAGACACCCAAAUUUAAAGGUUUUCUAUAUAUUUACAUAAGCACGCACACAUCUUAGUUCCUUGAAACCAUACAUUUUAUUUGUAUAUAAGCUUGAAUGAAUUUUCAAGAAAAUAAAAUCAUAAAUCCAUGAAAUUCUAAAGAUUUAUUGUAAAAUAACUGGUUUCUGCCACCACAG